Molecule: ribosomal RNA, 340 nt
Filed under: uncultured Prevotella sp.
Lineage: Bacteria; Pseudomonadati; Bacteroidota; Bacteroidia; Bacteroidales; Prevotellaceae
Description: bacterial SSU rRNA
Rfam family: Bacterial small subunit ribosomal RNA
Source: RNAcentral
AGUGUUUGAUCAUGGCUCAGGAUGAACGCUAGCUACAGGCUUAACACAUGCAAGUCGAGGGGCAGCAUGAACUUAGCUUGCUAAGUUUGAUGGCGACCGGCGCACGGGUGAGUAACGCGUAUCCAACCUGCCGCAAAGUAGGGCACAGCCUUGCGAAAGUAAGAUUAAUGCCCUAUGUGCUGUGAUGAUGACAUCAGAAUUGCAGUAAAGGUUCACCGCUUUGCGAUGGGGAUGCGUCUGAUUAGGUUGUUGGCGGGGUAACGGCCCACCAAGCCCGCGAUCAGUAGGGGUUCUGAGAGGAAGGUCCCCCACAUUGGAACUGAGACACGGUCCAAACUCC